Molecule: long non-coding RNA, 1612 nt
Filed under: Marmota monax (woodchuck)
Lineage: Eukaryota; Metazoa; Chordata; Mammalia; Rodentia; Sciuridae
Source: RNAcentral
UAACAAUCUCUUCCUGUGUUUUUCUUGAAAUUCUGAAACCUGAGGAGACAAUAAGCUCAAUGUAGGUGCUGCUCAGGCUCACCCUACACUUCCCGAGGACACACUCAGCUGCAAAGGACUGCAAGUGUGGGGACCAACACACUCCGACUUGCCCUUCCCCAGCAGACCCCCUUCUUUACCCACAGGCAGGCUCCACUUGGUAGGGAGGCUCCUGCCUGCUGCCCAUGGCCGGCUGCUAUCCAGAAUGGAUGCUUGGCACAGAUGUCCCUCCAUAGGGAAGGCCAGCAGGAGGCCAAAUGCAAACACAGAUGAGCCUGUUCCCUGCCAAGGGCUGUGUCUCCCUGGUGAUGUUCCUGUUGCUCUCAUGUGGAAAGGCACAAGACCCCACUGACUGGACCUCAGCAUGUCGUCACUCUGACAAGGGGACUAGCUGGAGGGAUGGCCUCCUGGCCAACCAGCAUAGCCAGAGGAGAACCUGAACUUGGUACGUGGACUGGGGUGGGUGGGUAGAAGAGCAGGAGCAGAAGCCCAGGGAGCCUGUGGCUGUCUGGACUGGAGGCAGCUCCAACUGGAGCCAACACUGCUGUUUCACAGGCUUCCGAGCACCCAUGUGGGAGAUGAACAGUGCUCUGUGACACUGAGGAGUGAAGCUGUGACCUGCAAGCAAGGCUUCAGACCACGGGUCACACCCGACACAUGCAUCCACUACCAUGUGCCCAAGUUCUACCACCAUCUGGCGCACCUCCCCAGGGAACAUGGCUGCCUGGGGGCUGAAGUGGGGUCAAGUCGGCUUCCUGUAAAUCUCUCAUGUCACCAACCUCGACCAUCUGCUGGUGACAACAGAUACACUGGAGUGCUCUGCAUCUCCCAUGAUCCUUAAUUGGUAUAAACAGGAUCCAACUCUGCUGUGAACAGAUACUGCCCUGACACUGUGCCUGCGUCCUAGGGACAAGCUGUGCUGGGAGCCACCUCCAGGUCAGUGGGGUCAGCAUCCUCCUCAAAGCCUCUGAGCUUAGGACUCAGGAUCUAAGAGAGCCCAUGGCUCUAGAAGACCAACUGCAGGAGACGACCAGGUGCUGCCCACCAAGGCUGGUGAGGAAUCCUCAUGACGCCGCAGGCCAUGACCCUGACGGCAACCCGUGACUGCGCUGGGAGGUCUCUAGUUCUCUGGCGGAGGUGCCUACCUGUAUCAAACACUCCUCACAGCCCAGCUCCUGCAGCUUGUCUCAUGAAUCCACUCCAACCCUGCAGGGUGGGCCCUGUUCCUUUGGCUGCCCAGGCUCACGGGGCGGGGGGCUCCAUGGCAGACACACCUGCCUGACUGUGGAGGGCCUACUGGUGCCAUGUCCACACUGGCAAGACUUGACCACAGGAGAUUUGUUUUUCCUGUCUUCUCUGCCUCAGACUUGUUCAGGGAAGGCCAGAUAGAGCCCUCCGGGUUCUAGUCCUGACUGGGGCCAGUGGAGCUGGGAAUUCCUGGCAGCAGACUGAUGAGCACACACAGCUGCCUGUCUCCCAUCCAUCCACAACAGGUCCUGCGCCUGCACAGGACGGAGCUUCAUGUGAUGACCUAAACCACACAGUGCUGUUAGCUUUGGGGAACCCUUAGGGA